Oncorhynchus tshawytscha (Chinook salmon) is the source of this 1457-nucleotide long non-coding RNA. The record is from Ensembl. Lineage: Eukaryota; Metazoa; Chordata; Actinopteri; Salmoniformes; Salmonidae.
CUCUACCCUCAGUCCCCUCAGACAGAAUAGGACCUGCCCUGAAUAAGGUUCUCCUCUACCCCCAGUCCCCUCAGACAGAAUAGGACCUGCCCUGAAUAAGGUUCUCCUCUACCCCCAGUCCCCUCAGAAAGAAUAGGACCUGCCCUGAAUGAGGUUCUCCUCUACCCCCAGUCCCCUCAGAAAGAAUAGGACCUGCCCUGAACGAGGUUCUCCUCUACCCCCAGUCCCCUCAGAAAGAAUAGGACCUGCCCUGAACGAGGUUCUCCUCUACCCCCAGUCCCCUCAGACAGAAUAGGACCUGCCCUGAACGAGGUUCUCCUCUACCCUCUGUCCCCUCAGAAAGAAUAGGACCUGCCCUGAAUGAGGUUCUCCUCUACCCUCAGUCCCCUCAGAAAGAAUAGGACCUGCCCUGAACGAGGUUCUCCUCUACCCUCUGUCCCCUCAGAAAGAAUAGGACCUGCCCUGAACGAGGUUCUCCUCUACCCUCUGUCCCCUCAGAAAGACUAGGACCUGCCCUGAACGAGGUUCUCCUCUACCCUCAGACAGAAUAGGACCUGCCCUGAAUAAGGUUCUCCUCUACUCUCAGCCCCCUCAUACAGAAUAGGACCUGCCCUGAACGAGGUUCUCCUCUACCCCCAGUCCCCUCAGAAAGAACAGGACCUGCCCUGAACGAGGUUCUCCUCUACCCCCAGUCCCCUCAGACAGAAUAGGACCUGCCCUGAACGAGGUUCUCCUCUACCCUCAGUCCCCUCAGACAGAACAGGACCUGCCCUGAAUGAGGUUCUCUACCCUCUGUCCCCUCAGAAAGACUAGGACCUGCCCUGAAUGAGGUUCUCUACCCCCAGUCCCCUCAGAAAGAAUAGGACCUGGUUUGUGAUCUAAAAAAAAUCAGACAAUAUCAGGAACUGCAUCUCAGCUGUACUUACUGUCUGUUGGUGGGGGGCGCUUAACAGAAGGUCCACUAUAGGGCCCUGGGCAACAUGUGCACUAUAUAGGGAAUGAGGGGGGGGGGGGGUGUGACUGAGUGAAGUCAUCCACUCUGCCCUCAACAGGAGAACUCUGGACCAGACUGACUAGGGAGGUGUUUACCCCGGUGGUCGUUACGACACCGUCACUUCCAGAAGGAAUUAACAGUGGAUCAAAAUGUAAAUAUUACGUUUUAUUGUAAAGAAGGAAUAAUAUGUUGGGAUGUAAAUAAAUUAGUUUGAUGGUUAGUUGUUGUUUGUUGUUUUGACAUAUGUAAUAUUAAAGGUGAGUCUGUGUCGUCAUUAAAGGUGUGAGCAGCAUGAUCCAUAGGACUGACUAUAACCAACAGCAUUUUAUACCCAACUGUUACUCACAAUUCAGCUUGACCACUGAGGAAAUGUGUUUGGUAAUGCUAACCUGCCUGUUAAAUAUAUACUGAACAAACAUGUCAAUGAUUUAAACUCCGUUACAGUUCAUUUAAUGAAAUAAAU